Molecule: long non-coding RNA, 242 nt
Organism: Symphalangus syndactylus (siamang)
Lineage: Eukaryota; Metazoa; Chordata; Mammalia; Primates; Hylobatidae
Source: RefSeq, a predicted model, not a curated record
ACAUGUGUAGUGGUGUCAGCAUCUCUUCAAAUAUAGCUCCCUUCACGUUGGACCCUCUCAGGUUGGCUUCUUGAAGAUCACACCCAGACAGAUCACAAUUCUGCAAGAUGAAAACAAUGUUCAGAUGCGACUGUCUAGUUGCAAGAAAACAAACUCAGGGCUCCCACUGAUUCUACAUUAUGUUUCUUGCAGAGAAAUCUACUAGAGAACAAGUUUCAGAUAACCACUGGAAACAUAACAAA